RNAcentral lists this unclassified non-coding RNA (235 nucleotides) under air metagenome. RNAcentral describes it as "partial contains small subunit ribosomal RNA, internal transcribed spacer 1, and 5.8S ribosomal RNA". The stretch from base 1 to 46 matches the Rfam family "Eukaryotic small subunit ribosomal RNA", at positions 1786 to 1831 of the family's 1831-position model. The record is from RNAcentral.
AAGUCGUAACAAGGUUUCCGUAGGUGAACCUGCGGAAGGAUCAUUACCGUGUUCCCUGCCCUCACGGGUAGAAACGCCCACCCGUGUAUAUUUUAUCUUGUUGCUUCGGCAGGCCGCCCUGGGGCACCGGCUUCGGCUGGAUCGCGCCUGCCAAAGGACCUCAAACUCUGAAUGUUAGUGUCGUCUGAGUACUAUACAAUAGUUAAAACUUUCAACAACGGAUCUCUUGGUUCUG